This 434-nucleotide ribosomal RNA is filed under the name uncultured Clostridium sp. Its description in RNAcentral is "partial 16S ribosomal RNA". It matches the Rfam family "Bacterial small subunit ribosomal RNA", at positions 341 to 792 of the family's 1533-position model. The record is from RNAcentral. Lineage: Bacteria; Bacillati; Bacillota; Clostridia; Eubacteriales; Clostridiaceae.
ACGGAAGGCAGCAGUGGGGAAUAUUGCACAAUGGGGGAAACCCUGAUGCAGCAACGCCGCGUGAGUGAAGAAGUAUUUCGGUAUGUAAAGCUCUAUCAGCAGGGAAGAAAAUGACGGUACCUGAGUAAGAAGCCCCGGCUAACUACGUGCCAGCAGCCGCGGUAAUACGUAGGGGGCAAGCGUUAUCCGGAUUUACUGGGUGUAAAGGGAGCGCAGACGGUUAAGCAAGUCUGAAGUGAAAGCCUGGGGCUCAACCCCGGAACUGCUUUGGAAACUGUUUGACUUGAGUGCUGGAGAGGUAAGCGGAAUUCCUAGUGUAGCGGUGAAAUGCGUAGAUAUUAGGAAGAACACCGGUGGCGAAGGCGGCUUACUGGACAGUAACUGACGUUGAGGCUCGAAAGCGUGGGGAGCAAACAGGAUUAGAUACCCUGGUA